Molecule: long non-coding RNA, 1222 nt
Filed under: Marmota monax (woodchuck)
Lineage: Eukaryota; Metazoa; Chordata; Mammalia; Rodentia; Sciuridae
Source: RNAcentral
AUCCAGCUUCUUGUUAACCUUGUAAUCCUCUUUAAGCCAUCUGCAUAGAGAAUUUAUAGCGUGGCAGGUGAGAAUGCAGAGGUGCUUGCCACCUCCCCCUGCCGGGUGCACUUCCCCUAUUUUUUUUCUUUUCUGAUCUCCUCAUUCGCCACUAGUCAACCCUUAAAUUCAGAAGUUCUACCUUCUUCUUCCUAUUGACUUAUAACAAAUUGAACUGUAGCGUUUGACUAAAACUGCCCCCAAAAGUUCGGGCAUUUCUAUUAUGCUACCCAAAAUACUUUGGAGGAAAACAUGUAUGUUAAAUGAUUUUUUUUUUUUUUAUGGAAGUCUAUUGAAGUUGAGAACUUAAAAUAGUACUCAACCCAUAGAAAUCUUAAUUUUUUUUCACUUAACUGAGGUAUAAGUUAUACAUAAUAAAGCAUGCAUAAAAUAAAUCACUUGAUAAAUUUUGAUGCAUAUACACUCCUGUGAAGCCAUCACCAAUCUAAAUAAUGAAUCAUCCAUCCCAUCACCUGAAAAGUUUUCUAAUGUCCCUUUUGUAAGCCAUCCUUCCCUUCACCUAAAAACGAUGCUAAAGGCAACCAAUAAUUUUCUUUCUGUCACUAUAAUUUGCAUUUUUUAAUUGUACAUAUGGAAUCCUACAACAUGUACUAUUCUUAAUCUAGCUUUUUAGAAAAAAAAAAAACUUUACAGAUUUACCCAUGUUAUUGAGUGCAUCCACAGUAAGUAGUAGUCCACAAUAUAGAUGUGCCACAAAUUGUUCACCUUCAUGAACAUUUUGGUUGUUUCCAGGUUUGGGCUAUUAAAAAUAAAACUGAACAUUUUUGUGCAAGUCCUUUCUGUGGACAUAUGCAUUUGUUACUUUUGGCUAAAUGUCUAGGAAUGGAUUAGGUGGGUUAUAUGGGAUGUAUUUGUUUCACUCUUUAAAAAACUACAAAACUGUUUACCAAACUAAUUUUACUAUUUUCUAUUCCCACAGCAGUAUAUAACAAUUCCAGUCUCCACAUCCUUGUCAACAUUUAUUAUUGUCAGUCUUCUGAAUUUUAGCCAAUUCAACAGGUGUGUUUUGGAAUGGAAUAUGUAACUCAGUGGUAGAUGGCUUGCCUAACAUGUGCAAGGCCCUGGGUUCAAAACCUGGCACCACAAAAAAUAUAUAUAUGUACAUAUAUAAUGUGUAUAUAUAAUAUAUAAAUAUCGUAACUUAUAAAAUUUCUGUUCAGGC